This 459-nucleotide ribosomal RNA is filed under the name uncultured bacterium. RNAcentral's name for it is "partial 16S ribosomal RNA". It matches the Rfam family "Bacterial small subunit ribosomal RNA", at positions 338 to 795 of the family's 1533-position model. The record is from RNAcentral.
CCUACGGGAGGCAGCAGUGAGGAAUAUUGGUCAAUGGGCUUACGCCUGAACCAGCCAAGUCGCGUGAGGGAAGACGGUCCUAUGGAUUGUAAACCUCUUUUGUCGGGGAACAAGGGCGUCCACGUGUGGACUGAUGAGUGUCCCCGAAGAAAAAGCAUCGGCUAACGCCGUUCCAGCAGCCGCGGUCAUACUGAGGAUGCGAGGGUUAUCCGGCUUUAUUGGGUUUAAAGGGUGCGUAGGCGGACAGUCAAGUCAGCGGUAAACAUGCGGUGCUCAACGCCGUACAGCCGUUGAAACUGGCAGUCUUGAGUGGGCGAGAAGUAUGCGGAAUGCGUGGUGUAGCGGUGAAAUGCAUAGAUAUCACGCAGAACUCCGAUUGCGAAGGCAGCAUACCGGCGCCCUACUGACGCUGAGGCACGAAAGCGUGGGUAUCGAACAGGAUUAGAUACCCUUGUAGUC